This 440-nucleotide ribosomal RNA is filed under the name uncultured bacterium. RNAcentral's name for it is "partial 16S ribosomal RNA". It matches the Rfam family "Bacterial small subunit ribosomal RNA", at positions 338 to 795 of the family's 1533-position model. The record is from RNAcentral.
CCUACGGGAGGCAGCAGUGGGGAAUAUUGCACAAUGGGGGAAACCCUGAUGCAGCGACGCCGCGUGAGUGAAGAAGUAAUUCGUUACGUAAAGCUCUAUCAGCAGGGAAGAAAAUGACGGUACCUGAGUAAGAAGCGCAGGCUAACUACGUGCCAGCAGCCGCGGUAAUACGUAGGGGGCAAGCGUUAUCCGGAUUUACGGGGUGUCAAGGGAGCGUAGACGGUGGGGCAAGUCUGGAGUGAAAUGACGAAGCUUAACUGCGGAACUGCUUUGGACACUGGACAACUAGAGUGCGGGAGGGGUAAGCGGAAUUCCUAGUGUAGCGGUGAAAUGCGUAGAUAUUAGGAGGAACACCGGUGGCGAAGGCGGCUUACUGGACUGUAACUGACGUUGAGGCUCGAAAGCGUGGGGAGCAAACAGGAUUAGAUACCCGGGUAGUC